UCAAAAACAUGUCCUUAUGAUGGAAUAUAAGGUCUGGCCUGCCCACUGAAAUAUUUAAAGGGCCGCGGUAUACUAACCGUGCGAAGGUAGCAUAGUCAAUAGUCUCUUAAUUGGGGGCUUGAAUGAAUGGUCGGAUAUAAGGAGAUCUGUCUUCAAUCGAUAGGUAUGAAUUUAACUUUUAUGUGAAAAGGCAUGAAUAGACUAUGGGGACGAUAAGACCCUAUAAAACUUAAUAGCUAAUUGGGAUUCUUCGAUUUGUGGGUAAGGGGAGUCUAUUAAGGGUAUUGUGCUGGGGCGGCAGGAAUAUAACACGUAACUGUUCUUUAUAUUAAAUAGUCGUUAUUAGAGUUUGAUCCUAAAAUUUGGGUUAUAAGAUCAAGUUACUUUAGGGAUAACAGCGUUAUUUCUCUUGAGAGUUCAUAUCGACAGGGAUGUUUGCGACCUCGAUGUUGAAUUAAAGUUUUUCCUGGGAGUAGAAGUUCAGGUAAUAAGUCUGUUCGACUUUUAAAGCUUUACAUGAUUUGAGUUCAAACCGGUGUGAGCCAGGUUG
This 550-nucleotide ribosomal RNA is filed under the name Alpheus amirantei. RNAcentral describes it as "partial 16S ribosomal RNA". It matches the Rfam family "Bacterial large subunit ribosomal RNA", at positions 1807 to 2633 of the family's 2925-position model. The record is from RNAcentral. Lineage: Eukaryota; Metazoa; Arthropoda; Malacostraca; Decapoda; Alpheidae.